GCGGGUGUAGCUCAAUGGUAGAGCUAAAGCUUCCCAAGCUUUAGAUGAGGGUUCGAUUCCCUUCAUCCGCUCCA
Molecule: transfer RNA, 74 nt
Filed under: Nitrosomonas sp.
Lineage: Bacteria; Pseudomonadati; Pseudomonadota; Betaproteobacteria; Nitrosomonadales; Nitrosomonadaceae
Description: tRNA-Gly
Rfam family: tRNA
About the family: Transfer RNA (tRNA) molecules are approximately 80 nucleotides in length. Their secondary structure includes four short double-helical elements and three loops (D, anti-codon, and T loops).
Source: RNAcentral